Molecule: ribosomal RNA, 483 nt
Filed under: uncultured bacterium
Lineage: Bacteria
Description: partial 16S ribosomal RNA
Rfam family: Bacterial small subunit ribosomal RNA
Source: RNAcentral
GAUUAACGCUAGCGGCAGGCAUAAUACAUGCAAGUUGAACGGCAGCACAGGUAGCAAUACUGGGUGGCGAGUGGCGCACGGGUGCGUAACACGUAUGCAACCUACCCUAUACAGGCGAAUAACCUUUAGAAAUGAGGGCUAAUACGCCGUAGUAUUACAGAUGGGCAUCUAUUUGUAAUUAAAGAUUUAUCGGUAUAGGAUGGGCAUGCGUCCCAUUAGUUAGUUGGUAAGGUAACGGCUUACCAAGACGAUGAUGGGUAGGGGAUCUGAGAGGACUUACCCCCACACUGGUACUGAGACACGGACCAGACUCCUACGGGAGGCAGCAGUAAGGAAUAUUGGGCAAUGGCCGCGAGGCUGACCCAGCCAUGCCGCGGGCAGGAAGACGGCCUUAUGGGUUGUAAACUGCUUUUAUACGGGAAUAAUAGAGUGUACGCGUACAUUUAUGCAAGUAUCGUAUGAAUAAGCAUCGGCUAACUCCGU